GGCUGAUCCUAAGGUAGUGAGUUAUCUCAAUCGACUGUUCAGUCAGUUACAGAUCAACCUCCUUGUUCCACUUUGUUCCUUGUUCCACUUGUUUCUCUUCUUCCACUAUUCCACCUGACUAGUCCAAA
Molecule: non-coding RNA, 128 nt
Filed under: Nomascus leucogenys (northern white-cheeked gibbon)
Lineage: Eukaryota; Metazoa; Chordata; Mammalia; Primates; Hylobatidae
Source: RNAcentral